This 72-nucleotide transfer RNA is filed under the name Loxodonta africana (African savanna elephant). It matches the Rfam family "tRNA". From Rfam's summary of the family: Transfer RNA (tRNA) molecules are approximately 80 nucleotides in length. The record is from Rfam by way of RNAcentral. Lineage: Eukaryota; Metazoa; Chordata; Mammalia; Proboscidea; Elephantidae.
GCCCUGGUGGCAAAGUAGUUAAGCGCUCUACUGCUAAUCGAAAGGUUGGUGGUUCGAACCCACCCAGAGGCA